UAAGCUGUUUCCUGGGACUGGAGCCGGUUGCCAUUGUCCUUAAGGGCAGGACUGCAGCCUCUUACCGUUCCACACCCACAGCCUUCAGCUUAGGUUAUCUCUGAAGAGACAAAGAGCCUUCCACCCAUAGCCCACAUCAGUAACUUGCUUUCUUGGGUAGAUUCAUCCGAUGAAUUUAUGAACCCUUGUAAAAAUGAAAAAUAUGAAUCUGCUGCAUUUUUCAUAAUUUCUGGAUUACAACUCAAAUUAAGUGAACAGUUCAAGCAAUUGGGCUCUGGAUGUUCUCAAAUCAUUGCAAAUUUUUGAAGCAGCAAGGCCAGCAGCCACACCAUAGUAGUUAAAAGUGACAGGAGCUGUGGCUUUUAAUGGGUUCCUAUAAAACCAAUGGGUCAUUUUUCCCAGAUAUUGACGCACUUCAGAGUUGUACAGCAGUCCUCCUGAGGGUAGAAAGGCAAUUCCCAAGUGCACAAGCAAGAAAAAGGGAGUCGGGACACCGAGGCUACCCAACUGGAGGGAAAGGAAACCAGGCCAAGCCCAGCGGGGGUCACGUGGCCCGGGCGGCCAUGACGGCUACCGAGGCGGAAGCGCGCCGCUGAAAGGCGGAGGCGGCCCCGCGGUCAAAGCCCCCCAAGAACACCCCGUGCAUCAGCCUUCCCUGCCUUCUCCUCCACGGCUUAUCUCUCGAAGGGCGGCACUUCCCCGUAGAGGAGCGGAAGGGUCGGCCAGGCCUCCCAAGCCGAGGAAGAUGCGUCGGUAGCGAUCAAGAAUGUAUUUUUAGGAGCCAGUGUCUGUUCUCUGUAUACAGCUGUUGCUCAGGCAAAUGGUCUGUUCAUUGCUUACUAGUGAUUUAGCAAAAUUCCAAAAGCAGCUGAAGCAGCACCUGAAAGAGUUAAACUCUCAAGUCCAGUUGCAGGUAGGACAAAACUCUUGGCAAGUGCUCAACUUGGUAACUUCCACAGUACAAAGUUCUGGGAACUGAGCCAAGAGAGGGCUCACCAGAAUAAGGACAAAAUUGUUUUUGUACCCAGACAACAAGGGGGGCUGUUUUGAAAACUGUGGAUUCCACUUAACCUAAUCUAUCUGAAUGUAGGGAACCUCCCUUAGCCGCUACAGAUGAGGGGCC
This 1123-nucleotide long non-coding RNA is filed under the name Dasypus novemcinctus (nine-banded armadillo). RNAcentral describes it as "lncRNA (ENSDNOG00000052424.1)". The record is from RNAcentral. Lineage: Eukaryota; Metazoa; Chordata; Mammalia; Cingulata; Dasypodidae.